UUCAUCUCUUUUUGUGUCCUUUUCAUUCAGGCGCAAUCACAUUAAGCCUGUUAUCCGUACAUGUUUCAUAGUAGAGUGGCCUGUUAGUGACUAUGAUCUGAGCAUGGGGUUUCUGGCACAUAAAUAUGUGUAAACCCUUUUAUUAGACCCAACUGUAGUUGUGGGGGAUCGAAUUGUAAUCCGCCCUACCGAGUUCAGUGCCAGAUACCUCUGAACCAACUAACAGUGGGUAAGUUUUUCAUUUUCCUUUUCUUUUUCUUUUUUCUUUUGUUUGUAGCAAAUUUUUACAAUUCUUUGGUUUAAAUGACUUUGUGAGGGUCACCUAUCCCGAAGUUGCGUUUUUGCUUUCUUUUGUUUUUUUAUUUUGUUUUGCUGGAUCAUUCACUUAUUUGCAUCGGUCCCCUAUGUAGAGGAUGCGUAGGCCGGAGCUGACUGCUGAGAUA
Molecule: long non-coding RNA, 443 nt
Filed under: Lathyrus oleraceus (garden pea)
Lineage: Eukaryota; Viridiplantae; Streptophyta; Magnoliopsida; Fabales; Fabaceae
Description: Pisum sativum (pea) long non-coding RNA (PSAT_LNC030295)
Source: RNAcentral